GACGUAGGGGGCGAGCGUUGUCCGGAAUUAUUGGGCGUAAAGAGUUCGUAGGCGGUUAUUUAAGUCUGGUGUUAAAGACGGGAGCUCAACUCCCGCAUGGCAUUGGAAACUGGAUAGCUAGAGUACGGUAGAGGUCUCGGGAAUUCCAGGUGUAGCGGUGAAAUGCGUAGAUAUCUGGAGGAACACCGGUGGCGAAAGCGCGAGACUGGGCCGUAACUGACGCUGAGGAACGAAAGCCAGGGUAGCCAAAGGG
Molecule: ribosomal RNA, 253 nt
Filed under: uncultured bacterium
Lineage: Bacteria
Description: partial 16S ribosomal RNA
Rfam family: Bacterial small subunit ribosomal RNA
Source: RNAcentral